Molecule: ribosomal RNA, 483 nt
Filed under: uncultured bacterium
Lineage: Bacteria
Description: partial 16S ribosomal RNA
Rfam family: Bacterial small subunit ribosomal RNA
Source: RNAcentral
AUUGAACGCUGGCGGCAUGCUUUACACAUGCAAGUCGAACGGCAGCGCGGGCUUCGGUCUGUCGGCGAGUGGCGGACGGGUGAGUAAUGCAUCGGAACGUGCCCAGUAGUGGGGGCUAGGGCGGCGACAGCGGGAUUAAUACCGCAUACGACCUUAGGGCGUACGGGGGGGACCGAAAGGCCUCCCGCUCUUGGACGAGCCGAUGUCGGGUUGGCUAGUUGGUGGGGUAACGGCGUACCAGGGCGACGAUCCGUAGCUGGUCUGCUGGGACGACCGGCCACACUGGAACGAGGACACGGCCCGGAUCCCAACGGGAGGCAGCGGUGGGAAAUUUUGGACAAUGGGGGCAGCCCUAACCCAGCCUAGCGGGGUGCGGGAAGAAGGCCUCCGGGUGGUAAACCGCUUUUGUGCGGGAAGAAAGCCUCUGGGCUAAUACCCCGGGGGGAGGACGGUACCAGAAGAAUAAGCACCGGCUAACUACGU